Non-coding RNA from Oncorhynchus mykiss (rainbow trout), 901 nucleotides. NCBI's taxonomy places the organism in Eukaryota, Metazoa, Chordata, Actinopteri, Salmoniformes, Salmonidae. The record is from RefSeq and is a predicted model, not a curated record.
GUGACAUUGAGGGGGGAUAGGUCUGAUAUCAGGAGUGACAUUGAGGGGGGAUAGGUCUGAUAUCAGGAGUGACAUUGAGGGGGGAUAGGUCUGAUAUCAGGAGUGACAUUGAGGGGGGAUAGGUCUGAUACCAGGAGUCACAUUGAGGGGGGAUGGGUCUGAUAUCAAGAGUGACAUUGAGGGGGGAUAGGUCUGAUAUCAGGAGUGACCUUAAGGAGGGGGGUGAUAGGUCUGAUAUCAGGAGUGACAUUGAGGGGGGAUAGGUCUGAUAUCAGGAGUGACCUUAAGGAGGGGGGUGAUAGGUCUGAUACCAGGAGUGACAAUGAGGGGGGGUUGAUAGGUCUGAUAUCAGGAGUGACAUUGAGGGGGGAUAGGUCUGAUAUCAGGAGUGACAUUGAGGGGGGAUAGGUCUGAUAUCAGGAGUGACAUUGAGGGGGGAUAGGUCUGAUACCAGGAGUCACAUUGAGGGGGGAUGGGUCUGAUAUCAGGAGUGACAUUGAGGGGGGAUAGGUCUGAUAUCAGGAGUGACAUUAGGGAGAGGGGAUAGGUCUGAUAUCUGGAGUGACAUUGAGGGGGGAUAGGUCUGAUAUCAGGAGUGACAUUGAGAGGGGAUAGGUCUGAUAUCAGGAGUGACAUUGAGAGGGGAUAGGUCUGAUAUCAGGAGUGACAUUGAGAGGGGAUAGGUCUGAUAUCAGGAGUGACAUUGAGGGGGGAUAGGUCUGAUACCAGGAGUCACAUUGAGGGGGGAAAGGUCUGAUAUCAGGAGUCACAUUGAGGGGGGAUAGGUCUGAUAUCAGGAGUGACAUUGAGAGGGGAUAGGUCUGAUAUCAGGAGUGACAUUGAGGGGGGAUAGGUCUGAUAUCAGGAGUGACAUUGAGGGGGGAUAGGUCUGAUAUCAGGA